RNA transcript from Pyrgilauda ruficollis (rufous-necked snowfinch), 2433 nucleotides. It is a transcript of the gene named RAB5C, member RAS oncogene family, with no coding region annotated. The transcript is spliced from 8 exons. The record is from RefSeq and is a predicted model, not a curated record. NCBI's taxonomy places the organism in Eukaryota, Metazoa, Chordata, Aves, Passeriformes, Passeridae.
UGAUUGGCAGCUGCGUCUGCCUGUGGCCGGAGAGCGAGGGGCGGAAGGGGUGGUGGGGUCCGGAAGCGGAACGGGUAAAGGCGGAAGUGAGGGCCGGGGCCUGCGAGACGCACCGGCGGGAGCGGCGCUGCGGGCGUUGCAACCUGCCUACAGGUGGAUCCCAGUGCAGAACCUGCAGCAUCCUUAACUCUCGGCACUCCUGCACUUAGACCACGAUGGCAGGUCGAGGUGGAGCUGCCCGACCGAAUGGACCAGCUGCUGGGAACAAAAUCUGCCAGUUCAAACUUGUUCUCUUGGGCGAGUCAGCGGUGGGGAAGUCCAGCCUGGUCCUGCGCUUCGUGAAGGGGCAGUUCCACGAGUACCAGGAGAGCACAAUUGGAGCUGCCUUCCUAACACAGACAGUGUGUCUGGAUGACACAACGGUGAAGUUUGAGAUCUGGGACACGGCGGGGCAGGAGCGAUACCACAGCCUGGCCCCCAUGUACUACCGGGGGGCCCAGGCUGCCAUCGUGGUCUAUGACAUCACCAACACAGACACAUUUGUACGAGCCAAGAACUGGGUGAAAGAGUUGCAGAGGCAGGCUAGCCCCAAUAUUGUAAUUGCACUAGCAGGAAACAAGGCAGACCUUGCUAACAAGAGAGCUGUGGACUUCCAGGAUGCACAGACAUAUGCAGAUGACAACAGCUUGCUGUUCAUGGAGACGUCAGCGAAGACAGCGAUGAAUGUGAAUGAAAUCUUCAUGGCAAUAGCCAAGAAACUGCCAAAAAAUGAACCCCAGAACGCUCCUGGUGGCCCGGGCAGGAAUCGGGUGGUGGACCUUCAGGAGAGCAGCCAGCCGAGCAGAAGCCAGUGCUGCAGCAACUGAGCAGCUGCUGCAGCCUGCGAGCCCGUGGAGGAGUGACUGGAACCCACGCUAACGAUCGCACUUACCGUAGGGCGGCUGCUGCCGGCGCCGCUGUGAUUCUCCAUCCCUUUCUGAUCAUAGGCUGGAGGGAGUUCUUCCACCUGCACCUUUCUGUACAAAUACUAAUUCAAUUCUAAGUCUUAAGUCACUUUUUUAAUAUAUGAACUUCUGCUCUUCCCUCUUCCUGGUGGUGGUGGAUGCAGGACCUGGUGUCUGCCCAGCCAGCGUGGCCGUCCCGCAGCAGGGACUGGACCUGAGCACAACAGUUCUUGGUGGAAGCUGAGCUGUGCUGGGCUGCUCCUGCACGAUGGCCUUGGAAGAUGCUGCUCUCCUGUCACUGCUGCAUGGACUAUGAGACCCCAACACCCUGGGACCUGGAAUCAGUAUGGAAGAAGAGGCAGACCCUUGCAGCUCCAUCCCUGCCACCUGUGCUGCCAGCAGCACCAUUUGUGCUCAGGAGAGACUGGGGAUGGAGAUGUGCUGCAUUUGGAACCCAUUGCCCCCCUCAGCUGUGGGGCUGCGAGAGGCUCGGGCACAGAGCCUGUGAGUAGAGUGGUGUGAACAGCCUUGGCUUGUGUGCCCUUCAUCUGCUAUCCAAGGUCUCAGUGCCUCUUCCUCAUGCUUGAUUUCCUUAAAAUCCUGGAAGCAGGAAGGGUCUGGAGUGAUUUGGUGAUGGAGUGCCUGGGAUCAUGCUGGAGCCUGGGCUGCCUGUGGGGUGUGGGCUUUGAUGGCCCCCACUACACCUCAUUUGUGGGGUGCUGUUGGUGCCUGGACUGCUGAGGUGCUCUGUGGGACCACCCAGUGCUUACUGUGUGGGGUGGACUGAUGCUGCUGGUUUUCUCAGGCAGCCAGAGAGAGACCAGUUUGGAGAAGAGCUUCCCUGAUCCCACUCAGAGCAAUUCAGUGGACACUGUGUGCAGUGCUGUUGCCAUCUGCUGGCUCCUCUCCCUGCGUGCCUGGUUUCUUCCUAGACUUGGGCUCUCUGUGAAGGCAUCUGUGAUACCUUAAAGAGGGUCUUGCUGCUUACAACAGGGGCUCAGUAGCGAGGCUGGGGACCUGCUGGCGUUCCUGGUGUGUCUGGGCAAUGGGCUGUCUGAUCUCAGGGUGGCUUUAGCACAAACAGGCGUUGCUGCCUGCAUACCUGCUGCCUGCCCACACAGCUGCUGCCUGCCCGGGCCUGAGCGUGGCUGUUUGUGGUGGUUACGCACCGCGCCCGGGGUUGGGCUUUUCCCUCCCUGCUGCUGGCAGCUCAGGGUGGACUCCAUCAGCCCCUUGCCAAGCUGGGAAGGGGAAAGUGUGGCUACAACAGCCUCACACCACACCCAGCCAGGUAGCCUGGUGUGGUUCUUUCCCUAUUGUUUGGGGAUGGGUAUUGGCUGAGGCUGUGGAGCUGGAGGUGAUGCUGGCAGCGGUGUGAGGAAAGGGUGAGGGCACCCCUGCUGCUCCUAUACAGGUGAGUGGGAUUGUCCUUCCUGCCUGCCUCUCUCCCUUAGCAGCACAGUGCUCCCAGAUCCCCUCCCUCACAGAA